This 471-nucleotide ribosomal RNA is filed under the name uncultured bacterium. RNAcentral describes it as "partial 16S ribosomal RNA". It matches the Rfam family "Bacterial small subunit ribosomal RNA", at positions 28 to 507 of the family's 1533-position model. The record is from RNAcentral.
GACGAACGCUGGCGGCGUGCUUAACACAUGCAAGUCGAACGAUGAAGCCUAGCUUGCUAGGUGGAUUAGUGGCGAACGGGUGAGUAAUACGUGAGUAACCUACCUUUAACUCUGGGAUAAGCCUGGGAAACUGGGUCUAAUACCGGAUACGACCAAUCUCCGCAUGGGGUGUUGGUGGAAAGCGUUAUGUAGUGGUUAUAGAUGGGCUCACGGCCUAUCAGCUUGUUGGUGAGGUAACGGCUCACCAAGGCGACGACGGGUAGCCGGCCUGCGAGGGUGACCAGCCACACUGGGACUGAGACACGGCCCAGACUCCUACGGGAGGCAGCGGUGGGGAAUAUUGCACAAUGGGCGCAAGCCUGAUGCAGCGACGCCGCGUGAGGGAUGACGGCCUUCGGGUUGUAAACCUCUGUUAGCAGGGAAGAAGAGAGAUUGACGGUACCUGCAGAGAAAGCGCCGGCUAACUACGUG